RNAcentral lists this long non-coding RNA (1966 nucleotides) under Helianthus annuus (common sunflower). RNAcentral describes it as "hypothetical non coding rna". Lineage: Eukaryota; Viridiplantae; Streptophyta; Magnoliopsida; Asterales; Asteraceae. The record is from RNAcentral.
AUCAUCCUCCACUCAACAAUCACCGAUGGAAUCAUCCUCUGCUCCACCUAACUGUCAACGAUUUCCCCUGAAUCACAUGGCAACGAUUGGACUUCAACAACAAGCAAAUCAUUUUGUUUCUUAACUGCGACCAACGUCUUGAUCUUCUUAAUAUGAGAGCACCCCAGGGUGGUCUCAGUGUUCUUGAACAAAGGUAGAAAGUUACACACAACUAGAUCAUGAGAUUUCAUUGGGCUCGAAGAUAACAGCGUAAUACGGUCGAGUUCGAUCUGGAAGAAGGCGAGAUUUGGUGAAAAUACCAUCAUAGGAAACCUUGAUACAGAUAUGAGGAGUCAAAACAAGCCCACUUGGUGACAGCCAUGUUAUUACAACCGGGCUUCUUACUCGGUGCACACCAUCUUUCCAUAUCAGAGCUCCAGACUCCGGUGCUGUUUGUCUAGUCUUCGUUGUGACUUGUGAACGUAAUCUUGUACGACAGUUUCUGGUAUUUCUUGGUGAAACUAAGGACUGACGGUUCCACUUUCACGUCCACGCCUUUGAACUGUGAAAUCGAAACAUGGUACUUCGAGGUUGGAGAUCCGACAUUAGUGACUAUUCUGCGAAUCGUCACCGUAGAAACCCUUUUGACUUCAGCAAACACAGCUGAGAGAGCUAGCAAACACAGCUGAGAGAGCUGGGUAGUUCAAAUCGCUAGGUCCGGAAAGCGAAUGCUGGCAGGUUCUAUUGGAGAAUUUGGUGAAAACCACCAGCUGAGUGCGCGUCAAACCCUGCGUGCACAAAAAGUCAAAGUAAUCCUGUGCUCCAAUAUCGUAAAUUAAACCAGGGUCAAUCGCUCUAACAGGGUUAAUGUGACCUGCACCGUGGUCAUACGGGCUGGACGGACCGCCAGUGGAAGAGUCUUGUAGCGUUUUAUAGGUAUUGUCGUGGAUGUACGCUGUCGUCAUCAAAGCGGAUUUUAUAGUCGCUGGACUCCAUUCCGGAUGCCGUGCUCUGAGUAACGCAGCAACUCCACUCACAUGAGGAUAUGACAUUGAAGUUCCCGAAAGUAUAUUGAAUCCAACUCUGCGUUUAUCCGCCUCGAGGCUCUUCCUCCUUGUUAAUCUUCCCAGUAGCCGCUUCAUAUCCGCGGUAAAACGCUCUCGCACCGACUAUCUUCUUAUUACAAUGAUGCUUUUGGAAACCUCGACCGACUUCACACGCGCCUUUCCAGUGGGCUGGGACCGUAGUGAAUCCAGUGUCGUUAAAGCUCGGACUCUCCGGCCAGAUUCCAGUAUCCAGCACACCCACAACAACAUCAUGGUCUGUUAACUUAUCAGACCAGACACUCGUAACAUCCUGUGUCUCAAGUCCUAGAAACAUAGGACUUCUUGUAGUUUGCAGCUCAUAUUUCACCUCAGGAAGUACCCCCACAACACCGUUUUGUCCCUCUAGUCUCUCCGCUUCCUCUUCGGUUAACCGUGCCGCCAUUCCAUGAAAAGCCGAUUGGUACGUGUGGAAUUGCUUGGAAUGAAGGUAGAUGACGAUGGCUCAGAGAUCAAUCUAAAAAACCACAACAAAUGCCAAAAGAUCCAAUUAUAAGCUGGUCAACAACUUAUUAAGACCUGCUAUCAACAACCAACAGAUUCUCUUCGAGCCUAUUUCAUUAUCGAUUGAAAACUUGAACUUAGUUAUCAAGGAGCUCGUUAAGGAAAAAGACGAAGAAAAAGAAAGUUCAAUGGAAUUAUUGCAGGGUGGUUGGCUGAAAAAGAUAAGGUGGAUAAAGAUGCUAUGCUUAUUGGAACUUGACUAAACCGGGGGUGAUGAACCGGUGUACGUGAAUUAUGGGACAACUGUUGAAUAAAGAUUGAAUCAAGAUGCAUGGCCUUAUCUAUUCCUUAUUAUUGUUUCAGUUAGUUACGUAUUCUUUUUUAUAAGGAUUGUUUUGGCAUUUUUUUCUUCAUAAGAAAUUAAAAAGAAAGUUUGUUCG